GGGACUCUUUUGGGGUGUUGAAUAGGUCAGUUUAGCAAAGGGAGUGUGGUAUUGUGCUGCUGUGGCAUUUAGCAAUCAUGUGGCAUUUAUUGUUUGUGUGCCACAGGGGGAUCUGAGUCCAGAACUGAGGGAAUGGGCUGUGGCAAGUGCUUGGUUUACAUGGUUCUUGGUAAUGGUGGUGCCAGUCGGAGCAGAGGAACUGCUUGCAUCCAUGAGCAGUGGAGGAUCAGUCUUGCCUGUUCAUGAGAUGAAGUGGAAAUUGACACAAGUUUGGAUAUGAGAUAGAUGUGAGGCCAGAUCUGGUGGAAAAAGAAUGGGGGUCCAAUUCUUCAAAGAACCAGUGAAGUUGAAGUAUGCCUGUGGGGGACAUGAAGAACUUGUUUCCUGAAAUGGAAGUUAGCAUGAUGUCAAGUUUGCAAGUUAAGUAUGGUUAUUGAUCAUGGUUUUUUGUUGGUCCGUUUGAUGUUGGA
Malaclemys terrapin pileata is the source of this 470-nucleotide long non-coding RNA. RefSeq lists it as uncharacterized. The record is from RefSeq and is a predicted model, not a curated record. The transcript is spliced from 3 exons. Lineage: Eukaryota; Metazoa; Chordata; Testudines; Emydidae.